GCGGGGAUGGCAGAGUGGUCUAAUGCGCUCGCCUUGAGAGCGAGUGCCUUCGGGCGCACGAGUUCGAAUCUCGUUCCCCGCG
Molecule: transfer RNA, 82 nt
Filed under: Candidatus Micrarchaeota archaeon CG08_land_8_20_14_0_20_59_11
Lineage: Archaea; Nanobdellati; Microcaldota
Also listed under: 1 other name
Description: tRNA-Ser
Rfam family: tRNA
About the family: Transfer RNA (tRNA) molecules are approximately 80 nucleotides in length. Their secondary structure includes four short double-helical elements and three loops (D, anti-codon, and T loops).
Source: RNAcentral